This 253-nucleotide ribosomal RNA is filed under the name uncultured Oscillospira sp. RNAcentral's name for it is "partial 16S ribosomal RNA". It matches the Rfam family "Bacterial small subunit ribosomal RNA", at positions 524 to 776 of the family's 1533-position model. Lineage: Bacteria; Bacillati; Bacillota; Clostridia; Eubacteriales; Oscillospiraceae. The record is from RNAcentral.
UACGGAGGAUGCGAGCGUUAUCCGGAUUUACUGGGUGUAAAGGGCGUGUAGGCGGGAUGGCAAGUCAGGCGUGAAAACUAUGGGCUCAACCCAUAGCCUGCGUUUGAAACUGUCGUUCUUGAGUGAUGGAGAGGCAAGCGGAAUUCCGUGUGUAGCGGUGAAAUGCGUAGAUAUACGGAGGAACACCAGUGGCGAAGGCGGCCUGCUGGACAAUAACUGACGCUGAGGCGCGAAAGCGUGGGGAGCAAAUAGG